GACGAACGCUGGCGGCGUGCUUAACACAUGCGAGUCGAACGGAAAGGCCCUGCUUUUGUGGGGUGCUCGAGUGGCGAAAGGGUGAGUAACACGUGAGUAACCUGCCCUUGACUUUGGGAUAACUUCAGGAAACUGGGGCUAAUACCGGAUAGGAGCUCCUGCUGCAUGGUGGGGGUUGGAAAGUUUCGGCGGUUGGGGAUGGACUCGCGGCUUAUCAGCUUGUUGGUGGGGUAGUGGCUUACCAAGGCUUUGACGGGUAGCCGGCCUGAGAGGGUGACCGGCCACAUUGGGACUGAGAUACGGCCCAGACUCCUACGGGAGGCAGCAGUGGGGAAUAUUGCACAAUGGGCGGAAGCCUGAUGCAGCAACGCCGCGUGCGGGAUGACGGCCUUCGGGUUGUAAACCGCUUUCGCCUGUGACGAAGCGUGAGUGACAGUAAUGGGUAAAGAAGCACCGGCUAACUACGUG
This 468-nucleotide ribosomal RNA is filed under the name uncultured bacterium. Its description in RNAcentral is "partial 16S ribosomal RNA". It matches the Rfam family "Bacterial small subunit ribosomal RNA", at positions 28 to 507 of the family's 1533-position model. The record is from RNAcentral.